Suncus etruscus (white-toothed pygmy shrew) is the source of this 191-nucleotide small nuclear RNA. RefSeq annotates it as U2 spliceosomal RNA. NCBI's taxonomy places the organism in Eukaryota, Metazoa, Chordata, Mammalia, Eulipotyphla, Soricidae. The transcript has a single exon. The record is from RefSeq and is a predicted model, not a curated record.
AUCACUUUUCGGCCUUUUGGCUAAGAUCAAGUGUAGUAUCUGUUCUUAUCAGUUUAAUAUCUGAUACGUCGUCUAUCUGACAAUGAUAUAUUAAAUAGAUUCUUGGCACUAGGAACUAGAAUAGGAGCUUGCUCCAUAUAUUCCACACAUCAAUCUGGUAUUGCAGUACCUAAAGGAAUGGUGCACCAAAA